AAGGAUUCCCUUAGUAACUGCGAGUGAAGAGGGAAAAGCUCAAAUUUAAAAUCUGGCAGUGCUUCACUGUCCGAGUUGUAACCUAGAGAAGUGUAACCUGCGCUGGACCGUGUAUAAGUCUCCUGGAAUGGAGCAUCACAGAGGGUGAGAAUCCCGUCUUUGACACGGACUACCAGUGCAUUGUGGUUGCGCUCUCAACGAGUCGAGUUGUUUGGGAAUGCAGCUCUAAAUGGGUGGUAAAUUCCAUCUAAAGCUAAAUAUUGGCGAGAGACCGAUAGCGAACAAGUACCGUGAGGGAAAGAUGAAAAGAACUUUGGAAAGAGAGUUAAACAGUAUGUGAAAUUGUUGAAAGGGAAACGUUUGAAGUCAGUCGCGUUGGUUGGGGAUCAGCCUGACAUUUGUUGGGUGUACUUCCUGGUUGACGGGCCAACAUCAGUUUUGACUGCCAGAAAAAGGCCAAAGGAAUGUGGCACCUUUGGGUGUGUUAUAGCCCUUGGUCGUAUAUGGUGGUUGGGACUGAGGAAAGCAGCGUGCCGAAAGGCCGGGUUUCGACCACGUUCACGCUGAGGAUGUUGGCAUAAUGGCUUUAAGCGACCCGUCUUGAAACACGGACCAAGGAGUCUAACAUGCGUGCGAGUGUUUGGGUGGAAAACCCUUACGCGUAAUGAAAGUGAAAGUUGAGAUCCCUGUCGCGGGGAGCAUCGACGCCCGGACCAGAACUUUUGGGACGGAUCUGCGGUAGAGCAUGUAUGUUGGGACCCGAAAGAUGGUGAACUAUGCCUGAAUAGGGUGAAGCCAGAGGAAACUCUGGUGGAGGCUCGUAGCGAUUCUGACGUGCAAAUCGAUCGUCAAAUUUGGGUAUAGGGCGAAAAGACUAAUCG
RNAcentral lists this ribosomal RNA (881 nucleotides) under Amanita spissacea. Its description in RNAcentral is "eukaryotic LSU rRNA". It matches the Rfam family "Eukaryotic large subunit ribosomal RNA", at positions 70 to 937 of the family's 3401-position model. The record is from RNAcentral. Lineage: Eukaryota; Fungi; Basidiomycota; Agaricomycetes; Agaricales; Amanitaceae.